UGGGGAAUAUUGCACAAUGGGCGCAAGCCUGAUGCAGCCAUGCCGCGUGUGUGAAGAAGGCCUUCGGGUUGUAAAGCACUUUCAGCGGGGAGGAAGGCGUUAAGGUUAAUAACCUUGGCGAUUGACGUCACCCGCAGAAGAAGCACCGGCUAACUCCGUGCCAGCAGCCGCGGUAAUACGGAGGGUGCAAGCGUUAAUCGGAAUUACUGGGCGUAAAGCGCACGCAGGCGGUCUGUCAAGUCGGAUGUGAAAUCCCCGGGCUCAACCUGGGAACUGCAUUCGAAACUGGCAGGCUAGAGUCUUGUAGAGGGGGGUAGAAUUCCAGGGGUAGCGGUGAAAUUCGUAGAGAUUUGGAGGAAUACCGGUGGCGAAGGCGGCCCCCUGGACAAAGACUGACGCUCAGGUGCGAAAGCGUGGGGAGCAAACAGG
This 429-nucleotide ribosomal RNA is filed under the name Chloroflexota bacterium. Its description in RNAcentral is "Chloroflexi bacterium partial 16S ribosomal RNA". It matches the Rfam family "Bacterial small subunit ribosomal RNA", at positions 355 to 776 of the family's 1533-position model. Lineage: Bacteria; Bacillati; Chloroflexota. The record is from RNAcentral.